RNAcentral lists this ribosomal RNA (935 nucleotides) under uncultured archaeon. Its description in RNAcentral is "bacterial SSU rRNA". It matches the Rfam family "Archaeal small subunit ribosomal RNA", at positions 55 to 903 of the family's 1478-position model. The record is from RNAcentral.
GAGUUCAGGUGCUUCGGCACCGGCGAACGGCUCAGUAACACGUGGACAACCUACCCUUAGGAGGGGGAUAAUCCUGGGAAACUGGGAAUAAACCCCCAUAGGCCAUGGAGGCUGGAAGGCACUGUGGCUGAAAUUCCGAAAGGAGCCUAAGGAUGGGUCUGCGGCCUACCAGGUUGUAGUGGAGGUAACGGCUCCACUAGCCUACGACGGGUACGGGCCCUGAGAGGGGGAGCCCGGAGAUGGACUCUGAGACACGAGUCCAGGCCCUACGGGGCGCAGCAGGCGCGAAAACUCCGCAAUGCUCGAAAGAGCGACGGGGGAACUCCGAGUGCCUACGCUUUGCGUAGGCUUUUCUCAAGCCUAAAAAGCUUGAGGAAUAAGGGCUGGGUAAGACGGGUGCCAUCUGUGACGGUAGUUAUAGAUUUGACUUGUCGUUGCAAGGCAUAAGCCGCCGCGGUAAUACCCGCAGCUCGAGUGGUGGCCGCUUUUAUUGGGCCUAAAGCGUCCGUAGCCUGUCUGGUAAAUGCCUGGAUAAAUCGUCUGGCUCAACCGGAUGGCUGCCAGGUAGACUGCUAGACUCGGGACCGGAGGAGGGAGAGGGUACUCCAGGGGUAGGGGUGAAAAUUCCCUUUCUAUUAGCUUUGUGUGAAGCAGAAAGGGUUAUCACAAUCCUGUAAUCCUUGGAGGACCACCGGUGGCGAAAGCGCUCUCCUAGGACGGGUCCGACGGUGAGGGACGAAAGCCAGGGGAGCAAACCGGAUUAGAUACCCGGGUAGUCCUGGCCGUAAACGAUGUGGACUUGGUAUUGGGGUGGCUACGGGCUGCUCCAGUGCCGUAGGGAAGCCGUUAAGUCCACCGCCUGGGGAGUAUGGUCGCAAGGCUGAAACUUAAAGGAAUUGGCGGGGGAGCACCGCAACGGGAGGAGCGUGCGGUUU